Long non-coding RNA from Sapajus apella (tufted capuchin), 102 nucleotides. RefSeq lists it as uncharacterized. NCBI's taxonomy places the organism in Eukaryota, Metazoa, Chordata, Mammalia, Primates, Cebidae. The transcript is spliced from 3 exons. The record is from RefSeq and is a predicted model, not a curated record.
AAGGAGUGACAGAAAUGAGACAUGACAGAAAUCCAUCAUCCAACACCCUUGGAUUCAGAGGACAAAUCCAUCACCUGUGGCUUUCUGGACUUUGAGACAAAU